CCUACGGGGUGCAGCAGUGAGGAAUCUUCCACAAUGGGCGAAAGCCUGAUGGAGCAACGCCGCGUGGGUGAAGAAGGUCUUCGGAUCGUAAAACCCUGUUGUUAGAGAAGAAAGUGCGUGAGAGUAACUGUUCACGUUUCGACGGUAUCUAACCAGAAAGCCACGGCUAACUACGUGCCAGCAGCCGCGGUAAUACGUAGGUGGCAAGCGUUAUCCGGAUUUAUUGGGCGUAAAGGGAACGCAGGCGGUCUUUUAAGUCUGAUGUGAAAGCCUUCGGCUUAACCGGAGUAGUGCAUUGGAAACUGGGAGACUGGAGUGCAGAAGAGGAGAGUGGAACUCCAUGUGUAGCGGUGAAAUGCGUAGAUAUAUGGAAGAACACCAGUGGCGAAAGCGGCUCUCUGGUCUGUAACUGACGCUGAGGUUCGAAAGCGUGGGUAGCAAACAGGAUUAGAUACCCCAGUAGUC
This 465-nucleotide ribosomal RNA is filed under the name uncultured bacterium. RNAcentral describes it as "partial 16S ribosomal RNA". It matches the Rfam family "Bacterial small subunit ribosomal RNA", at positions 338 to 795 of the family's 1533-position model. The record is from RNAcentral.